This 332-nucleotide ribosomal RNA is filed under the name uncultured eukaryote. Its description in RNAcentral is "partial 18S ribosomal RNA". It matches the Rfam family "Eukaryotic small subunit ribosomal RNA", at positions 1470 to 1796 of the family's 1831-position model. The record is from RNAcentral.
CCCUUAGAUGUCCGGGGCCGCACGCGCGCUACACUGUAGAUCGCAGCGAGUGUAGUUUCUGUCCCUCCCGUAGCCGGGUGGGUAAACCAUUGAAAGAUCGAACGUGGCUUGGGAUCGGGCCUUGAAAUUAUUGCCCGUGAACGAGGAAUUCCCAGUAAGCGCGAGUCAUAAGCUGGCGUUGAUUACGUCCCUGCCCUUUGUACACACCGCCCGUCGCUCCUACCGAUUGAAUGCUCAGGUGAGCCAUUCGGACUUUCAUCAUGCUGGUUUCCAGUUUUGAUGAAGGAAAGUCUUGCGAACCUUAUCAUUUAGAGGAAGGAGAAGUCGUAACA